RNAcentral lists this long non-coding RNA (469 nucleotides) under Phoenix dactylifera (date palm). RNAcentral's name for it is "long non-coding RNA (PDAC_LNC022104)". Lineage: Eukaryota; Viridiplantae; Streptophyta; Magnoliopsida; Arecales; Arecaceae. The record is from RNAcentral.
AAAAAAAAAAGAAAAAAGAAACAAACAUACGGUACUACUACUAUAUGGGCCAUAAAAUACCAUGAUUUUGACACCAUACAACCGCGAGCUAUAAACCAGUCAUUCAACAGACUUUGAAGUACCACCAGGAGGGAACGUAGAAGAAAAUAAGAGGAUUAAUUCACGAGUUGCAACUUGCAAACUGACCGCUUACAUCGUUCACAUGUGGAAUAUUUUAACACCAAGCAGCAGCAUGGAAACUAUUAAGGAACAGACGGGUACACUGGAAGGCCUCUAUGGCAAUUGCAUCCCCACGGUGCACAACACAGUAUUCUUGUUAUUCAAGAUGGCCUCAUCAGAUUUUAGGCAAGUCUUGAUCAAAUACAUUCUAAAAUUUUGUUUAGUAACAGUAUUACCGAGUCCGUUGUAGUUUUGAUGGAUGGCUCUAUAGAGCGUCCUUGGACAGCAGGUUCUGCAACUGGAUCUUCCG